UUCCGGUUGAUCCUGCCGGACCCGACUGCUAUCAGAGUGGGACUAAGCCAUGCGAGUCAACGCCGCAAGGCGUGGCAUACGGCUCAGUAACACGUAGUCAACAUGCCCAAGGGACGUGGAUAACCUCGGGAAACUGAGGAUAAACCGCGAUAGGCCAAGAUUUCUGGAAUGGAUCAUGGCCGAAAUCUAUAUGGCCCUUGGAUUGGACUGCGGCCGAUCAGGCUGUUGGUGAGGUAAUGGCCCACCAAACCUAUAACCGGUACGGGCUUUGAGAGAAGGAGCCCGGAGAUGGGCACUGAGACAAGGGCCCAGGCCCUAUGGGGCGCAGCAGGCGCGAAAACUCUGCAAUAGGCGAAAGCUUGACAGGGUUACUCUGAGUGAUGCCCGCUAAGGGCAUCUUUUGGUACCUCUAAAAAUGGUGCAGAAUAAGGGGUGGGCAAGUCUGGUGUCAGCCGCCGCGGUAAUACCAGCACCCCGAGUGGUCGGGACGAUUAUUGGGCCUAAAGCAUCCGUAGCUUGUCCUGCAAGUCCUCCGUUAAAUCCACCUGCUCAACAGAUGGGCUGCGGAGGAUACUACAGGGCUAGGAGGCGGGAGAGGCAAGCGGUACUCAGUGGGUAGGGGUAAAAUCCUCUGAUCCACUGAAGACCACCAGUGGCGAAGGCGGCUUGCCAGAACGCGCUCGACGGUGAGGGAUGAAAGCUGGGGGAGCAAACCGGAUUAGAUACCCGGGUAGUCCCAGCUGUAAACGAUGCAGACUCGGUGAUGGGUUGGCUUCGCGCCAACCCAGUGCCGCAGGGAAGCCGUUAAGUCUGCCGCCUGGGGAGUACGGUCGCAAGACUGAAACUUAAAGGAAUUGGCGGGGGAGCACCACAAGGGGUGAAGCCUGCGGUUCAAUUGGAUUCAACGCCGGG
This 912-nucleotide ribosomal RNA is filed under the name uncultured crenarchaeote. Its description in RNAcentral is "bacterial SSU rRNA". It matches the Rfam family "Archaeal small subunit ribosomal RNA", at positions 1 to 922 of the family's 1478-position model. The record is from RNAcentral. Lineage: Archaea; Thermoproteati; Thermoproteota.